GGAAAUUUAUUUUCAGUGUCGCAGGGAAACCGAUAAACACACCGCCUGGGGAGUACGACCGCAAGGUUAAAACUCAAAUGAAUUGACGGGGACCCGCACAAGUAGUGGAGCAUGUGGUUUAAUUCGAAGAUACGCGCAGAACCUUACCAACACUUGACAUGUUCGUCGCGACUCUAAGAGAUUAGAGUUUUCGGUUCGGUCGGACGAAACACAGGUGCUGCAUGGCUGUCGUCAGCUCGUGUCGUGAGAUGUUGGGUUAAGUCCCGCAACGAGCGCAACCCUCACUUUUAGUUGCCAUCAUUAAGUUGGGCACUCUGAAAGAACUGCCAGUGAUAAGCUGGAGGAAGGUGGGGAUGACGUCAAGUCCUCAUGGCCCUUACGUGUUGGGCUACACACGUGCUACAAUGGUAUCUACAACAGGAAGCAAGACUGCGAAGUUAAGCAAAUCCCUAAAAGAUACCUCAGUUCGGAUUGCACUCUGCAACUCGAGUGCAUGAAGCUGGAAUUACUAGUAAUCGUGGAUCAGCGUGCCACGGUGAAUGCGUUCCCGGGUCUUGUACACACCGCCCGUCACACCAUGGGAGUUGGUUCUACCUUAAGGCAAGGUUUCAAACCCUUGACCACGGUAUAGUCAGCGACUGGGGUGAAGUCGUAACAAGGUAACCGUA
Molecule: ribosomal RNA, 668 nt
Filed under: uncultured bacterium
Lineage: Bacteria
Description: bacterial SSU rRNA
Rfam family: Bacterial small subunit ribosomal RNA
Source: RNAcentral